Molecule: ribosomal RNA, 406 nt
Filed under: uncultured bacterium
Lineage: Bacteria
Description: partial 16S ribosomal RNA
Rfam family: Bacterial small subunit ribosomal RNA
Source: RNAcentral
AUUGAACGCUGGCGGCAGGCCUAACACAUGCAAGUCGAACGAGUGGCGGACGGGUGAGUAAUGUCUGGGAAACUGCCUGAUGGAGGGGGAUAACUACUGGAAACGGUAGCUAAUACCGCAUACCAGCGGAUAGGCCCGGGUGGGUUUGGCUAGUGGGUGGGGUAACGGCUCACCUCGGCGACGAUCCCUAGCUGGGCUGAGAGGAUGACCAGCAACACUGGAAUGGAGACACGGUCCAGACUCCUACGGGAGGCAGCAGUGGGGAAUAUUGCACAAGGGGCGCAAGCCUGAUGCAGCCAUGCCGCGUGUAUGAAGAAGGCCUUCGGGUUGUAAAGUACUUUCAGCGGGGAGGCGUUACCCGCAGAAGAAGCACCGGCUAACUCCGUGCCAGCCGCCGCGGUAAUUC